This 253-nucleotide ribosomal RNA is filed under the name uncultured bacterium. Its description in RNAcentral is "partial 16S ribosomal RNA". It matches the Rfam family "Bacterial small subunit ribosomal RNA", at positions 524 to 776 of the family's 1533-position model. The record is from RNAcentral.
UACGGAGGGUGCAAGCGUUAUCCGGAUUCACUGGGCUUAAAGGGCGUGUAGGCGGGCUGUUAAGUCAGUGGUGAAAUCUCCAGGCUCAACCUGGAAACUGCCAUUGAUACUAUCAGUCUUGAAUUUUGUUGAGGUAGGCGGAAUAUAUCAUGUAGCGGUGAAAUGCUUAGAUAUGAUAUAGAACACCGAUUGCGAAGGCAGCUUACUAAGCAAAUAUUGACGCUGAGGCACGAAAGCGUGGGGAUCAAACAGG